This 898-nucleotide ribosomal RNA is filed under the name Cadophora fastigiata. Its description in RNAcentral is "LSU rRNA". It matches the Rfam family "Eukaryotic large subunit ribosomal RNA", at positions 24 to 938 of the family's 3401-position model. Lineage: Eukaryota; Fungi; Ascomycota; Leotiomycetes; Helotiales; Ploettnerulaceae. The record is from RNAcentral.
CCCCGCUGGACUUAAGCAUAUCAAUAAGCGGAGGAAAAAGAAACCAACAGGGAUUACCUCAGUAACGGCGAGUGAAGCGGUAACAGCUCAAAUUUGAAAGCUAGCUCUUUUAGGGUUCGCAUUGUAAUUUGUAGAAGAUGCUUCGGGUGUGGCCCCGGUCUAAGUUCCUUGGAACAGGACGUCAUAGAGGGUGAGAAUCCCGUAUGUGACUGGGUGCUUUCGCUCAUGUGAAGCUCUUUCGACGAGUCGAGUUGUUUGGGAAUGCAGCUCAAAAUGGGUGGUAAAUUUCAUCUAAAGCUAAAUAUUGGCCAGAGACCGAUAGCGCACAAGUAGAGUGAUCGAAAGAUGAAAAGCACUUUGGAAAGAGAGUUAAACAGUACGUGAAAUUGUUGAAAGGGAAGCGCUUGCAACCAGACUUGCGCGCUGAUGAUCAUCCGGGCUUCUGUCCGGUGCACUCGUCUGCGCUCAGGCCAGCAUCGGUUUCGGUGGUGGGAUAAAGGCCUUGGGAAUGUAGCUUCUUUCGGGGAGUGUUAUAGCCCUCGGUGCAAUGCCGCCUACCGGGACCGAGGACCGCGCUUCGGCUAGGAUGCUGGCGUAAUGGUUGUAAGCGACCCGUCUUGAAACACGGACCAAGGAGUCUAACAUCUAUGCGAGUGUUUGGGUGUCAAACCCAUACGCGUAAUGAAAGUGAACGGAGGUGAGAACCCUUAAGGGUGCAUCAUCGACCGAUCCUGAUGUCUUCGGAUGGAUUUGAGUAAGAGCAUAGCUGUUGGGACCCGAAAGAUGGUGAACUAUGCGUGAAUAGGGUGAAGCCAGAGGAAACUCUGGUGGAGGCUCGCAGCGGUUCUGACGUGCAAAUCGAUCGUCAAAUUUGCGUAUAGGGCGAAAGACUAAUCGA